This is a long non-coding RNA of Erinaceus europaeus (western European hedgehog), 574 nucleotides long. RefSeq lists it as uncharacterized. NCBI's taxonomy places the organism in Eukaryota, Metazoa, Chordata, Mammalia, Eulipotyphla, Erinaceidae. The record is from RefSeq and is a predicted model, not a curated record. The transcript is spliced from 4 exons.
ACCCAGCGCGAGGCAGCUCCUCAAUGGAUACAAACAGCGAGCGUCUCAAUGGAUACAUUCUCCCAGCCAGCCAAUCAGCGCACUGCGGAAGGGGCUGUUGCCUUGGGGACGGGCCGGCUGGAACAGUACUAUCAACAACUUGUAUUUGGAGUAAGGACCAGAAAUUUCUCCAGAACCACCAAGAACAUGAAAAAAAAUUCAAGAAUUGUUUAAAGGUUGAAAAUUCUGAUCAUUAGAAAGUUCAAGGCCAAAGGCAAUUUCUUUCCCAGGAGAGAAAUGAUAACCACUGACAUUUAGAAUCAUCAGUUCCCUCCUCUGUCCUGGCUACAAUUACAAUCACUGUCUCUCAGUGCCUCCCUGAGUCAGCCACUAAGUUGCAAAUGCUACCAUAAUGCCAACCUGACUUUCCUGGGCAGAUGACCUCAUCAACGUGUUCUGAAACGCCACCUCCCCAGAGCCCUGCCCCACUAGGGAGAGACAAACAGGCUGGAAGCACCUGCCAAUGCCCAUGUCUAGUGGAGAAGCAAUUACAGAAGCCAGACUUUCCACCUUCUGCACCCCAUAAUGAUCCUGA